GAUGAACGCUGGCGGCGUGCCUAAUACAUGCAAGUCGAGCGAACAGACGAGGAGCUUGCUCCUCUGACGUUAGCGGCGGACGGGUGAGUAACACGUUGAUAACCUACCUAUAAGACUGGGAUAACUUCGGGAAACCGGAGCUAAUACCGGAUAAUAUAUUGAACCGCAUGGUUCAAUAGUGAAAGACGGUUUUGCUGUCACUUAUAGAUGGAUCCGCGCCGCAUUAGCUAGUUGGUAAGGUAACGGCUUACCAAGGCAACGAUGCGUAGCCGACCUGAGAGGGUGAUCGGCCACACUGGAACUGAGACACGGUCCAGACUCCUACGGGAGGCAGCAGUAGGGAAUCUUCCGCAAUGGGCGAAAGCCUGACGGAGCAACGCCGCGUGAGUGAUGAAGGUCUUCGGAUCGUAAAACUCUGUUAUUAGGGAAGAACAAAUGUGUAAGUAACUAUGCACGCCUUGACGGUACCUAAUCAGAAAGCCACGGCUAACUACGUG
RNAcentral lists this ribosomal RNA (497 nucleotides) under uncultured bacterium. Its description in RNAcentral is "partial 16S ribosomal RNA". It matches the Rfam family "Bacterial small subunit ribosomal RNA", at positions 28 to 507 of the family's 1533-position model. The record is from RNAcentral.